Molecule: unclassified non-coding RNA, 196 nt
Filed under: uncultured Trechispora
Lineage: Eukaryota; Fungi; Basidiomycota; Agaricomycetes; Polyporales; Polyporaceae
Description: sequence contains ITS2
Source: RNAcentral
AGUCAUCAACCCCUCCCGUUUCGUGCGGGUGCGGGUUGGAGCUGGGGGCUUGCUGCCGAGAGGCGGCUCCCCUCAAAUCCGUCGGUUGGGCCUGCGGGUCGGACUCGAUUGGGCGUUGUACCAUCCUCGCUCUAACGAGAUGUUCCCCUUCUGUGCCCAUCCUCCUUUUGGAGUGGCGGUCAAACCAAACUUUGAA